UUAGCUAGUCUUGUUACAUGGAAAGAAAACUUAGUGAAGGCCAAGGGUACUUUUGUCCAAUUACAUAAAGAAAUUGGGAUAUUUUUGGAAAUAGACUUUGGCUAGGUGGCGAAAAGAUAAAAUAAUAUAAUCAGAUUGCUUGAUUUUUCUCUUUUUUUUCUUUUUUUUUUGGAUGUGAGGUGUCCGCAAAUAUUUUCUCAAAGCGAAAACCACGUGGGUGCGCGCCAUGUGGGACCCGCGUGGCAAAUAGUUUUUUUGGAAGAAAUUCUUUUUUUUUUUGGAAGAAAUUCUUAAUGAAAGGUACUUUUGUGCAACUUUUUGGAUUAUAUGAAGAAAUUUUGUUAUAUAUAAAGAAAUUGGGGAUGCAUUAUUUUUGGGCAUAUUUUUUCGGCUAGAUGGCAAAAAGAUAAAUAAUAGAAUGAGGCUGC
This 428-nucleotide long non-coding RNA is filed under the name Eucalyptus grandis. RNAcentral describes it as "long non-coding RNA (EGRA_LNC007058)". The record is from RNAcentral. Lineage: Eukaryota; Viridiplantae; Streptophyta; Magnoliopsida; Myrtales; Myrtaceae.